GGUCCUGUAGUUCAAGGGAUAGAAUAGAAGUUUCCUAAACUUUUGAUCCAGGUUCGAGUCCUGGCAGGACCA
RNAcentral lists this transfer RNA (72 nucleotides) under Saprospiraceae bacterium. RNAcentral's name for it is "tRNA-Arg". It matches the Rfam family "tRNA". From Rfam's summary of the family: Transfer RNA (tRNA) molecules are approximately 80 nucleotides in length. Their secondary structure includes four short double-helical elements and three loops (D, anti-codon, and T loops). Further hydrogen bonds mediate the characteristic L-shaped molecular structure. tRNAs have two regions of fundamental functional importance: the anti-codon, which is responsible for specific mRNA codon recognition, and the 3' end, to which the tRNAs corresponding amino acid is attached (by aminoacyl-tRNA synthetases). tRNAs cope with the degeneracy of the genetic code in two manners: having more than one tRNA (with a specific anti-codon) for a particular amino acid; and 'wobble' base-pairing, i.e. permitting non-standard base-pairing at the 3rd anti-codon position. Lineage: Bacteria; Pseudomonadati; Bacteroidota; Saprospiria; Saprospirales; Saprospiraceae. The record is from RNAcentral.